AAAAGCCCAAUUGUGAAAAUGGCAUUCGUCAUCCCCAUGUGGUGUCCACCAUGGGGUUUGAAGGUGAAAACACGGGACAAAAUUGUAAAAACUCCAUUUUUCCCAAAUUCAAUUCAUCUUUAACCUCCUACAACCCAUUUUCUCUUAUCUUUGAUCCAUAUAAAAUCCCACUCACCCACAUUCUCUCACAAAAACUCUAAUACCCACUACCUUCCCCACAAAUCCAUCCAUUCCUCACUCUUUAAA
Molecule: long non-coding RNA, 246 nt
Filed under: Lathyrus oleraceus (garden pea)
Lineage: Eukaryota; Viridiplantae; Streptophyta; Magnoliopsida; Fabales; Fabaceae
Description: Pisum sativum (pea) long non-coding RNA (PSAT_LNC015728)
Source: RNAcentral